RNAcentral lists this long non-coding RNA (2187 nucleotides) under Salvia miltiorrhiza (redroot sage). RNAcentral's name for it is "long non-coding RNA (SMIL_LNC005623)". Lineage: Eukaryota; Viridiplantae; Streptophyta; Magnoliopsida; Lamiales; Lamiaceae. The record is from RNAcentral.
UGGCCUUAAAUUUCUCAACCAUCUUGUCUCGAGGUGGCCAGCAGUCUUUUAUUACUGGAUCAUCAGAAAAGUUAUUCAUCCACGCUGAUAAUAGUGGGAACUUCUCUGCAUCUACUAAUUUCAGGUCAAUUAUCUCUUCCAGUAUGCUGAUCAAGUUGCUCAUCCACCCAAAUGCAAGAUCAAGAUAACCAAUGGCUCCCCUCCAAAAAAUCUCUUCCCUUUUAGCUGCCUUUCUAGCAAUUUCAGAUUCUCAGUGAAUGGACCAAUAGCUUCCUGUUGCUCUUUUCCUUGAGAGAUGAAGACACUCCAUGUUGAUGGCAUAACCUGCUUUUCACAAAGCAUAGGUGAGAUUACAUCUCUUACCAACACUACUAGCAUCUAAUAUUAUUACCUGCUGUGUGUGAAAUUCUAUAAUAAGAAUUGCCUAGACUAAUAGCAUCAAAUAUUGUUUUGAUCUUAUAGACUCUGAGGUAAAGAAAUUUGUAUAUACCUUGUCAUCUCCAAACUUGGCCCAAAACCGAGCCAUGGCUUUCUCGUAAGGAUCUUGGGGAAGAAGAGGAGGCUGCUUCCACAUGUCGUCUAUGUAUUCAAGAAUCACUAGGGACUCACAAACUGGCCUUCCAUUGUGCAGGAGAACAGGUACCUUCUUGUGCAGGGGAUUGUAUUCAAGGAGUGAAGCACUCUUUGUUGUCAGAUCCUCCAAUACUGUUUCGUACCCCAAGCCUUUGAUCUUCAACGCCUGCACCACCCUCAAAGCAUAAGGACUUGACCAUGUCCUCAGCAGCCUCAGUUCUUCUGCCAUUUUCCCCUUUGACAGAUGGUUAGUGCUUUUCGACUCUAUUUGUAGGGACUCUGUUUCCUUCGGCAUGUGUAUGUGUAUCAGAUUUGUACUGUCGAUGAUCUACAUGAAUGAUUUUUAUUAUCUGUUUGUAUUUUCUCAAUGAUUAUCCAAAUGAUGGGAUAGGGUCCGGCAUUUGUGUCGAUAAUUUUCAUGAUUUUGGCAGGCCUGAUAAUGGCUGAUGAGAAAUCAAACAUUUUGUUUGUCUUAUUCUUGAUCUGGAAGUAUUCCAUUGUCUGCCGUCUGCUUGAACUUCACUAUGAAUAUUUUUAGCAGGGUGUGUAUUGUGUAGGACGGUCAGUCAGGCAUGAUCCGAAUCCAAAUACUCCCUCCGUCCUCAUAAAAUAUAUCCAAUUUCCCAUUUUCGCCCGUCCUCAUAAAAUGCAUCCAGUCUAUUCAACUACUUUGUUAAAAUUGUGCCAUUUAGAAAUAGAUACUUUUUACAACGACGGAGGGAGUAUUACUAAACGCCAGCAAAAUUAUAAUUAAGUUAUUGACGAAUGCUGCACCUGAGAUAUUGUUUCUUAGAAGGGUCUGUUUUUCUUCUUAUUUCUAAAAAUGCUACAAAUUAAUGAGAUAACAUAGUCUCAGAUCAAAUUGACUCUUUUGCAUGUUUCACGACUUCCAUUAACACCAGCAAUGAGGAAAACACAUUUCACAAAAACAAACCAAGCCUGAAAUUUAUUGAACUUGCAUGACAACAUCAUGAGCCACUUCAUCUACAGGUAGCUCUCUUGUCAUUGAUGGGAGGAAAGUUCAGGUCGACAAUCGAGCUUCACGAAUGGCCGUAAAUUUCUCCACCAUCUUGUCUCGAGGUGGCAAAUCCUCAUUUAUCACCGGAUCAUCGGCGAAGUUGUUAAUCCAUGCUGAUAACGCUGGGAAUUUCUCUGCAUCUACUAAUUUCAGGUGAAUGAUCUCUUCCAGUAUGCCGAUCAAGUUGGCCAUCCACCCCAACGCAAGAUCAAGGUACCCAAUCCUCUCGCCUCCGAAGAAUUUCUUCCCUUUCAGCUGCUCUUCCAACAACUUCAGAUUCUCUGUCCAUGGACCAACGGCUCCCUCUUGCACUUCUCCUUGAGAGAGGAACACACUCCACAGCGAUGGUAUAACCUGUAAGAUUCAUUCAAAUUCUUUAGUUAAAUAACUAUUAUCGUACAAACUAUGAGGUGGUGUUGUACCUUUUCAUCACCGAACUUGGCCCAGAAGCGAGCCGUGGCUCUGUCGAGAGGGUGCUCGGGGAGGAGAGGAGACUGCUUCCAGACCUCAUCGAUGUAUUCGAGAAUGACGAGGGACUCGCAGAUGGCUUUGCCGUUGUGCAGCAGAACAGGUAUCUUCUUGUGUAUGGGAUUGUA